This 258-nucleotide ribosomal RNA is filed under the name uncultured bacterium. RNAcentral's name for it is "partial 16S ribosomal RNA". It matches the Rfam family "Bacterial small subunit ribosomal RNA", at positions 95 to 354 of the family's 1533-position model. The record is from RNAcentral.
CCGGCGCACGGGUGCGUAACGCGUAUGCAACCUACCAUCAACAGGGGGAUAACACUGAGAAAUUGGUACUAAUACCCCAUAAUAUCUCAUGCGGCAUCGCAUAGGGUUGAAAACUCCGGUGGUUGAUGAUGGGCAUGCGUUGUAUUAGCUGGUUGGUGAGGUAACGGCUCACCAAGGCGACGAUACAUAGGGGGACUGAGAGGUUAACCCCCCACAUUGGUACUGAGACACGGACCAAACUCCUACGGGAGGCAGCAG